CCUCUGCUCUAAACAAUAGAUCCGUGUGACUAUAGCUGCUUCAAGUUCCUGUUGCCUUGAUUUCCCUGAAAUGGUGGACUGCAACCUAGAAUGGUCAAGGACCAACAGGAAGAUAAACUCAACAGAUGGAUCCAGGUUUUAGCCACCCACCAGCCAAAGCAGGGCCACUUGGACUGGGAAGGGAGGAACAUGCGCCGGUCUUGGAGGAAACCAGGUCUGCUAAUAGAGGUCUCCUGAAUGCUGCCAGACGUUACCUAGGGGAAUGAUGAGGAACCGCAUGUAACCCAGCCAGUCCGGGGUCUUGCUGGCAAGGGACUUGACAAAAAACCGGAGGAUGGAGCUCAGGUAACUCUGGCUUCCCACAGCUGCUACCUUGACUGGCCUCGGCAUGGAUGAGUUGCAGUUGCAGCUGGUAAGAAACAGGGUGUAUACACACCAUAUUUAGGCCUCAGAAUCCUGCUCAGGGCAGGUCUCAAGUUCUGACUUCAUGCAUUUCCAAAAGCCACAGGGGAAGCAUGCCAAGAAAGAAAAUGAUACAGGGAGAUAGCAAGCUAUAGUACUGCUCAAGAAGGCAGGCAGCUGUCUAUGGAGAAGGCAGAGGCUAACAGGAAGUUGGAAGUGCUGCCUAAGAGGCCUGGAAUUGCUGUCACAGGAGAGGGAAUACCAGGCCUCUCUAAGGUGAUCCUGGAGAGGUAAACAUAGGCUCUCCAUUAACAAACAGCAUGUUACCACAGAGGGAAGGAAUAUAAGGUAUUUUUAGAACCCUGUCCUUUCUUGUCUCAGAUUCAGGAGCAAGAUGAAGCAAGUCUAAGUAAGGCAUGAGUCGAGGGUGUGGAGGUGGUGGGAGCAUGAGUUUCAGGAGCUGAUAUUCUACUAGGGGCAUAGAGCACUGCUGCAGGCUCUGUCUCCAAGUACAAACUGGAGCUGCGACUUCCUAGCCUCAGAGUAACCAUCGCUAGAAGAAAUCAGAUGGGAAGAUGAGAUAGAGGAACCACAAAACAUCCUAAGAAAAGCCUUACUAGCGCUGAAUCCUAGUGAGCAGGGCAGACAACACGGCCUGGACCUCCACUGUUGAGCAGGUGCAUACAACAGGCUUCCUCUGGUCUUGAAGCAAUUCAGCCACAUACUAGAGGGGGGAAGGAAGGGACACAGGUAAGCUACACUACUCCCCACAAAUGAUGAGAAGGCAGGCAAGGCCCAGAUAGAGCUGCAGAGCACCUGUCCCCUUCAGGUUAUGUGUAAGAAAAGGACACAUCAGACCCCAUGGACAUGACAUGCUGACUGUGAAAUGAGGUGGAUUAAGGGUGCCAAGUGUCACCCAUGUCCAGGCAUCCUUGAAACUAAUGUCUAUGAGGCAGACAUAGAUGGCAGAUGAAGUCACUCUCCUGUCUCCCUGUGUGCUGUUUCAGGUCACACACUGGGAACAUCUGUAGACCCAUUACCCCUUGACCCUUAAUGCUCUACCUGGCCCUGCCAGUCUGUGGUGUUCACCAGGAUGACAUUUUCAGGGAGGGCUGCAUCGGAUACCAGGAUCUGAUUCAGCUGGUCGUAUACCACCUUUCUUGGAAUCUGUAGGAACAAGUGUUGGUUGGGCAGGUGGAAUAAUAAGACUUCUGGCACAAGGGUAACUAAGAAUUUGUGGAGACAGUCUCCCAUUGAUCAGACUGAAAUAGAGAUGAAGAGGAAGAUCAGUGUCCUUGGAGAAUAUACUAACACACCAGGCAUAACGUCACACCAGUAGUUGUUCUGGGGAGAGCCUGUGAGGCUCGGAAGCAAAGGCAUCAUGUGAACGGCAUGGCCCUAGGGGCUCUAGGGUAGCAUGGUGGGGACUGAGAGCAGCAAGUGAGCUGGUGCCUGGAGAAUGCAGCAAGGGCAGUGCGGAAGAGAACAAUGAGUGGCACCACGUGGGGCCCACUGUCCCGGGAACAGAGGUGUUUCAAGAGCAAUGAUCAAGCAAAGGACAAUACCUUACCCUAGGCACUGGGCUAUUCUAGUCUCAGUUCCACUUGCAGCUUUGUGACAGCAUCAAAUUCAGGAAGCCAUAUGCCCCAACCUUGUCCUUCCAUAAUAUUUAUUAAACUUUUCUGUUUAACUCUAGGAGAAGAGUAACCAGCACGGGUGGCUUCUUGCCCUAGUUCUGAUCCAGUGUCUCAGUGAGGACACCUCAGGUCUGGUUUAUGGUCACAUCUUCUCCAACUACCCUCAGGGUUGAGAGUAGCCUAAGAAGAGCUUGGAGUAACCAUGGCAGCAUUGGCAGGGGAGCAAUGCUAACAGUUCUUGUUCCUGUCCCUGUUCACCACCACUCAAAUGGAUCCCAAAUUCCACUUAGCAGAGGAUAACACUUAUGGUGGCUUCUCUAACUUAGGUAACCCAGAAAGGAGCUAACAUCCCUCCUUUUCCUCCACC
Long non-coding RNA from Grammomys surdaster, 2406 nucleotides. RefSeq lists it as uncharacterized. The transcript is spliced from 3 exons. The record is from RefSeq and is a predicted model, not a curated record. Lineage: Eukaryota; Metazoa; Chordata; Mammalia; Rodentia; Muridae.